UACGUAGGGUGCAAGCGUUGUCCGGAAUUAUUGGGCGUAAAGAGCUCGUAGGCGGUUUGUCGCGUCUGCUGUGAAAACUCGGGGCUUAACCCCGGGCCUGCAGUGGGUACGGGCAGACUAGAGUGCGGUAGGGGAGACUGGAAUUCCUGGUGUAGCGGUGAAAUGCGCAGAUAUCAGGAGGAACACCGGUGGCGAAGGCGGGUCUCUGGGCAUUUCCUGACGCUGAGGCGCGAAAGCGUGGGGAGCAAACGGG
RNAcentral lists this ribosomal RNA (253 nucleotides) under uncultured bacterium. RNAcentral's name for it is "partial 16S ribosomal RNA". It matches the Rfam family "Bacterial small subunit ribosomal RNA", at positions 524 to 776 of the family's 1533-position model. The record is from RNAcentral.